UCGGGAUACAACGCCUGGCAGGGUCGGACGAGGACAUUCGUUUCUACACCAGAUUUGCCACAUACAAGCAUUUCCUUGCCUUUUGGAAAUUGGUGGAGCCAGCAGCCAACACCAAGAUGGUGCGGAUCACCAACGCCAAGGCAUCCUCUGCCAGCAGCUCGGAUUCCUCUCAACCAACAACAACGAAACUUCCACCCAUAGAUGAGCUGCUGCUGUUCCUCAUGCACCUGUCAGUGGGCCUACAUCUGAGGGAUCUAGCAGAACGGUUUGGCAUUCA
Trematomus bernacchii (emerald rockcod) is the source of this 277-nucleotide long non-coding RNA. RefSeq lists it as uncharacterized. The transcript is spliced from 3 exons. NCBI's taxonomy places the organism in Eukaryota, Metazoa, Chordata, Actinopteri, Perciformes, Nototheniidae. The record is from RefSeq and is a predicted model, not a curated record.